This 302-nucleotide ribosomal RNA is filed under the name uncultured bacterium. RNAcentral describes it as "partial 16S ribosomal RNA". It matches the Rfam family "Bacterial small subunit ribosomal RNA", at positions 58 to 353 of the family's 1533-position model. The record is from RNAcentral.
CAAGUCGAACGAUGAAACCGCCCUCGGGCGGACAUGAAGUGGCGAACGGGUGAGUAACACGUGACCAACCUGCCCCCCUCCUCCGGGACAACCUUGGGAAACCGAGGCUAAUACCGGAUACUCCUCGCCCCCCUCCCUGGGGGGGCCCGGGGAAAGCCCAGACGGCAAGGGAUGGGGUCGCGGCCCAUUAGGUAGUAGGCGGGGUAACGGCCCACCUAGCCCGCGAUGGGUAGCCGGGUUGAGAGACCGACCGGCCACAUUGGGACUGAGAUACGGCCCAGACUCCUACGGGAGGCAGCAUG